UACGGGGGAUGCAAGCGUUAUCCGGAAUCAUUGGGCGUAAAGCGCCUGUAGGUGGUUUAAUAAGUCUGUUGUUAAAGACUAGGGCUUAACCCUAGAAAAGCAAUGGAAACUACUAGACUUGAGUAUGGCAGGGGUAGAGGGAAUUUCUAGUGUAGCGGUGAAAUGCGUAGAUAUUAGAAAGAACACCAGUGGCGAAAGCGCUCUACUGGACCAUUACUGACACUCAGAGGCGAAAGCUAGGGUAGCAAAAGGGAUUAGAUACCCCUGUAGUCCUAGCCGUAAACGAUGGAUACUAGAUGUUGUACAUAAUGUACAGUACCGUAGCUAACGCGUUAAGUAUCCCGCCUGGGGAGUACGCUCGCAAGGGUG
RNAcentral lists this ribosomal RNA (369 nucleotides) under uncultured phototrophic eukaryote. RNAcentral describes it as "SSU rRNA". It matches the Rfam family "Bacterial small subunit ribosomal RNA", at positions 524 to 896 of the family's 1533-position model. The record is from RNAcentral.